RNAcentral lists this ribosomal RNA (405 nucleotides) under uncultured bacterium. Its description in RNAcentral is "bacterial SSU rRNA". It matches the Rfam family "Bacterial small subunit ribosomal RNA", at positions 355 to 776 of the family's 1533-position model. The record is from RNAcentral.
CUAAGAAUAUUGCACAAUGGACGAAAGUCUGAUGCAGCGACACCGCGUGAGGGAUGAAGGUUUUAGGAUUGUAAACCUCUUUUAUUAGGGAAUAGCAAGGAAGGUACCUAAUGAAUAAGCUACGGCUAACUACGUGCCAGCAGCCGCGGUAAUACGUAGGUAGCGAACGUUGUCCGGAAUCACUGGGCGUAAAGGGUCCGUAGGCGGUUUGAUAAGUCUCAUAUGAAAACUUCAAGCUCAACUUGGAGAGGUUGUGAGAUACUGUCAAACUAGAGACUGUUAGAGGUAAGUGGAAUUCCAGGUGUAGUGGUGAAAUGCGUAGAUAUCUGGAGGAACACCAGUGGCGAAAGCGACUUACUGGGACAGUUCUGACGCUAAGGGACGAAAGCGUGGGGAGCGAACCGG